GUUUGCCUUUUUGCACAUAUACUAAAAUUGGAAAGAUACAGAGAAGAUUAGCAUGGCCCCUGCGCAAGGAUAACACACAAAAUGGUAUUUU
Non-coding RNA from Mesocricetus auratus (golden hamster), 91 nucleotides. The record is from Rfam. NCBI's taxonomy places the organism in Eukaryota, Metazoa, Chordata, Mammalia, Rodentia, Cricetidae.